UGGGGAAUUUUGCGCAAUGGGCGAAAGCCUGACGCAGCAACGCCGCGUGUGUGAUGAAGGUCUUCGGAUUGUAAAGCACUUUCGACCGGGACGAAAACCCAUUGGCUAACAUCCAAUGGCUUGACGGUACCGGGAGAAGAAGCACCGGCUAACUCUGUGCCAGCAGCCGCGGUAAUACAGAGGGUGCAAGCGUUGUUCGGAAUUAUUGGGCGUAAAGCGCGUGUAGGCGGCUUUGCAAGUCGGGUGUGAAAGCCCUCAGCUCAACUGAGGAAGUGCGCCCGAAACUGCAGAGCUUGAGUGCCGGAGAGGGUGGCGGAAUUCCCCAAGUAGAGGUGAAAUUCGUAGAUAUGGGGAGGAACACCGGUGGCGAAGGCGGCCACCUGGACGGUAACUGACGCUGAGACGCGAAAGCGUGGGGAGCAAACA
This 426-nucleotide ribosomal RNA is filed under the name uncultured Archangium sp. RNAcentral's name for it is "bacterial SSU rRNA". It matches the Rfam family "Bacterial small subunit ribosomal RNA", at positions 355 to 774 of the family's 1533-position model. Lineage: Bacteria; Pseudomonadati; Myxococcota; Myxococcia; Myxococcales; Archangiaceae. The record is from RNAcentral.